AAUUAAUUACAAAGAACCAGUUUUGGUCCUGGUCCCUCUUUAACAUUGUGUACCUCAAUUUAGGAAAAUUAUCUAAGUUGAGAGUAUCUAUCAUAGGGUUGCAUAGUUAAAAUUGGGUAUGUAGAAGGGUGUUUUAUGUAAACAAAAAAAAAGAAAGGUGAGGUGAGGUAGAAAAAAAAAGAAAAAAGAAAAAAGUGGAAACUUGAAAAGAAAAAGAAAAAAGAAAAAGAGAAAAAUGAAUAAAUGAAAGGCAAGAAGUAAACCACACCCAACUCAAAAAAUCAAUAAAGGAUAAAAAGGAGAAAUAAAAGACUAAUGGUUAAGAAAUGGAGCAAAAAUAUAAGUGCAAUGUCAGAAGGUGAGUCACUCUAUCCCAAAUGUACUAUACCUACCCGUAUGCCCACAUUACAAGUUGAGCAAAGUCCUAUAGUAAUACUAGUCCCAAUGUACAAAAAAUUAUGGUAUAGAAAAUAAGGGCAAGCCUAUGUGUAAUGUCCCUUCAGGUUAUUUUCCAUAUUUCCACUUAUUUUUUCCACUACAUCUUUUUUUUAAAUGCCCUGAGUCAUUUCGAACUUUCUAGAACUAGCAGUUUGGUUAUCGGGCAGUUUAUUUGGUUUUUAGAGCCAAUUCCCUAUUUUGAAGUCAUUGCUAGUUCUGAAUAGCCACGAGAUAAAAAAUUUAGUUAAA
Molecule: long non-coding RNA, 687 nt
Filed under: Capsicum annuum
Lineage: Eukaryota; Viridiplantae; Streptophyta; Magnoliopsida; Solanales; Solanaceae
Description: long non-coding RNA (CANN_LNC015735)
Source: RNAcentral